This 253-nucleotide ribosomal RNA is filed under the name uncultured bacterium. Its description in RNAcentral is "partial 16S ribosomal RNA". It matches the Rfam family "Bacterial small subunit ribosomal RNA", at positions 524 to 776 of the family's 1533-position model. The record is from RNAcentral.
UACGUAGGGUGCGAGCGUUAAUCGGAAUUACUGGGCGUAAAGCGUGCGCAGGCGGUGAUGUAAGCCAGGUGUGAAAUCCCCGGGCUUAACCUGGGAACUGCAUUUGUGACUGCAUCGCUGGAGUGCGGCAGAGGGGGAUGGAAUUCCGCGUGUAGCAGUGAAAUGCGUAGAUAUGCGGAGGAACACCGAUGGCGAAGGCAAUCCCCUGGGGUAACACUGACGCUCAUGCACGAAAGCGUGGGGAGCAAACAGG